UGAUGGAAUUUUUAUCAUGCAUACCGGGAUGGACGUCUAGAGGAAGUUGUGCUGCGUCACCUGGGAAAUGAAGAUGGUCAGACGGUGAUAGCUGCAAAUAUUAGGCUGUCAGACUUUCUUAGUGAUUUGCGCAUUAGGUGAAUAAAGUCGUCUGAUAUUCGAAUGAGUGUUGUGUGUAGCAAGAAGAUAUGUGCAGCUUUGAUGCUGGUUUUCAAUUGCUGCUAGUGGAGUACACCAGAUAUCUAUAAGAAUAUCUUGCUGGAGAAUGAGACCGGGUUUGCGGGAGAAGACAUGACGUGCUUGGUUGAUAUUUGACAACAUAAUUCAAAGAAUAAUAGUAAUAAUGGAAAUCCAGAUUAAAAAAAAAAAUAGUAAUUAUGGAAAGGAUGAGUUAUGUUGAGGAUUUGACAAUUAUAUACAUGCAUGUGUGGCUUCAAUAUUCUACAGGUUGGGUAUAGACAAUGAUUUUGAAUAAAGGAUGGGAUAUGGAUAGCAUGAGAAUACCAUACUUGUUGAGAACUGUAUAUAAAGGCAUACCGGCUUUGACGAUUUUUCAUCUUCGUUGACGGUUAUUUUUGAAAAUGAAACCAUGCUCUUAUAUUGAGGAUGCUCGUGUUGUAGUUGGUCCUCUUGUAAUAAUCCUGGCAUCUAUCUUUAGAUAUUUAGAACUAAACGAGUGAGCAAAACUAUGAGAUUGUGAGUUUGCGACGCAAGAUAUAAGCAUGAUGGUUAAUUUUGGCUGUCUAGAAUUGUAUGUUGAUUGGAAUUUUCCUAUGG
Molecule: long non-coding RNA, 777 nt
Filed under: Rosa chinensis
Lineage: Eukaryota; Viridiplantae; Streptophyta; Magnoliopsida; Rosales; Rosaceae
Description: sRNA RchiOBHm_Chr1g0315771
Source: RNAcentral